This 420-nucleotide ribosomal RNA is filed under the name Triticum aestivum (bread wheat). RNAcentral's name for it is "partial small subunit ribosomal RNA". The record is from RNAcentral. Lineage: Eukaryota; Viridiplantae; Streptophyta; Magnoliopsida; Poales; Poaceae.
AUGGACUCCGAGAAGAUGCAGAUGGCCUCUCGCCCGGCGACUGCGUACCCGGAGGCUGCCUGGCUGGUGAGCGCUUGGACCCUCUCCACCGCCUGCCUCUUCCUCCUCACUUCCGCACUAGUCGAAACUCUCGACCACUUCGACGUCGAUAUCCCCUGCAGCCCGUCCUGGUGGUCGGUUUUGCGGUGCGUCGAGCUGACGGACGCGGGCGCUGCUAAGGUAGCCGCCGCGGGAAGCGCCAUGCGGAUCGGGAUGCUCUGGCGUGCCGCGCCACAGGCCGCGGCGGCGGCGCUGGCUCUGCUGCUUCCAUGCCGCUACCGCCAGGCCCGCCGCGCCCUCGACUGCCUCGCGCUCGCGCUGCCGUCCUCGGCCACUACAUGUACGCGUGCGCCUGUCUCCUCGUCCUCGCCGCCGGCGUAG